CCCAGACUCCUACGGGAGGCAGCAGUGGGGGAUAUUGCACAAUGGGGGAAACCCUGAUGCAGCGACGCCGCGUGAGUGAAGAAGUAUUUCGGUAUGUAAAGCUCUAUCAGCAGGGAAGAAAAAAGACGGUACCUGACUAAGAAGCCCCGGCUAACUACGUGCCAGCAGCCGCGGUAAUACGUAGGGGGCAAGCGUUAUCCGGAUUUACUGGGUGUAAAGGGAGCGUAGACGGCAAUACAAGUCGGAAGUGAAAUACCCGGGCUCAACCUGGGAACUGCUUUGGAAACUGUAUGGCUGGAGUGCUGGAGAGGUAAGCGGAAUUCCUAGUGUAGCGGUGAAAUGCGUAGAUAUUAGGAGGAACACCAGUGGCGAAGGCGGCUUACUGGACAGUAACUGACGUUGAGGCUCGAAAGCGUGGGGAGCAAACAGGAUUAGAUACCCCUGUA
RNAcentral lists this ribosomal RNA (446 nucleotides) under uncultured bacterium. RNAcentral's name for it is "bacterial SSU rRNA". It matches the Rfam family "Bacterial small subunit ribosomal RNA", at positions 330 to 792 of the family's 1533-position model. The record is from RNAcentral.